UACGGUCCAGACUCCUACGGGAGGCAGCAGUAGGGAAUCUUCCACAAUGGACGAAAGUCUGAUGGAGCAACGCCGCGUGAGUGAUGAAGGUUUUCGGAUCGUAAAACUCUGUUGUAAGGGAAGAACAAGUGCGUUAGGUAAUGAACGCACCUUGACGGUACCUUAUUAGAAAGCCACGGCUAACUACGUGCCAGCAGCCGCGGUAAUACGUAGGUGGCAAGCGUUGUCCGGAUUUAUUGGGCGUAAAGCGCGCGCAGGUGGUUUCUUAAGUCUGAUGUGAAAGCCCACGGCUCAACCGUGGAGGGUCAUUGGAAACUGGGAGACUUGAGUGCAGAAGAGGAUAGUGGAAUUCCAAGUGUAGCGGUGAAAUGCGUAGAGAUUUGGAGGAACACCAGUGGCGAAGGCGACUGUCUGGUCUGUAACUGACACUGAGGCGCGAAAGC
RNAcentral lists this ribosomal RNA (443 nucleotides) under uncultured bacterium. RNAcentral's name for it is "bacterial SSU rRNA". It matches the Rfam family "Bacterial small subunit ribosomal RNA", at positions 325 to 760 of the family's 1533-position model. The record is from RNAcentral.